CUCAACUGAUGUUUGGGUGUGCGAUAGAAGGAGCGCUUUAAUCACAUGAACCUUGCAGGAGUUCAGACAAACGUACCACACUGAAUACAGGCGGUUCGUAACAGUAUCACAGAGCUCCACUGCAAUAAAACUCACGGUAAUGUGCAGUAUGAAUGAGUAUAUCACAGAGCACCACUGCAUUAAAACUCACACUUGGACAAAUCCUGUUUUUGAGCCCUUCUGCUAUUUUUUUAACUCAUCACUCCCUAUGUUUCAGAAUAUCUGAGUCGGUGACGCUUGAUUACGGCACCCAGACCUACUGCGCAGUGUGUUAGAGAAAGCCGGUCCCAGGAUGUUAUAUCCCAGUCAGUAGAAGCGUUAGGCGGAGUAGAAGGAACUGACUUGCUCUCCUAAUACAAGUCCCCUGGGAGAACAAGCAGAGCUCUCCCCCUCUCCAGGCAGUAGGUAAGUUGUGUAUUACUGUCUGUGUGCUGAUGGAAGUGUGUUAUCCUCUCUGUAUGACUGUCUGUCAGAGUGAAUGUAUGAUUGCAUGUUAAUG
Non-coding RNA from Pelobates cultripes (western spadefoot toad), 538 nucleotides. Lineage: Eukaryota; Metazoa; Chordata; Amphibia; Anura; Pelobatidae. The record is from the annotation of a GenBank genome assembly.